GUUGUUUGUGCUUCGAACGUCAUCACAUCGUCACGGGAGUCAAGAGUCCACACACCGAGUGCUCGUCACAGCAGAAAGCCUGACUGAUCAUCCAGCGAGGCAAAUGAAUAAUAAAAGAUCAAUGGACAGCUUUGUCAUUAACACUUUGACAGAGUGGCAGCUGACAGACCUUGUCGACAAAUUUAAAGAUUGCACAGGACAGUCUUGUCCUGCAAGGGGAUGCUGCAUCAAAAUUGUUUGAAACUUGGCUACCCAUUUAUGCUGAGAAGAUCCUGUGCCUGGCACCUGGAUGGAUAAACACCAGAUGGUGUUGGGGAUCUCGCCCUGAGGCAGCUGCCAACCUUGCUUCCACCUACAACUUACAAAGUUGGCCGUGGCCGCAGUGUGAAAGUGGUUCGCCACACCAUUCAGGAAUACAGCUUGGCCUUCAUCGACCGUAAGCCUCCUGGAAUAAACAUGGUGGAGUAGCUCAAUGAGGCCAAGGCAUGCAAACCAUACCCCCACAUCCUGACGCUGGGAAAUGAUCAGAGGGCAUUUCAGAAUUUGUUCAAGACAGUUGACUGUUGGCAUGUUGAAUGUUCAGCCAGUUCAUUCAUAAUUGUUGUUUUGCUAUGAAUGUUUUCCUAUCUAGUGAUAUUAACUGCACCAGUUACACUAUUGUUGAUAUUAAUGAAUGUAAUACAAUAAAAAAAUUCUGAGAUUC
Triplophysa dalaica is the source of this 703-nucleotide long non-coding RNA. RefSeq lists it as uncharacterized. The record is from RefSeq and is a predicted model, not a curated record. NCBI's taxonomy places the organism in Eukaryota, Metazoa, Chordata, Actinopteri, Cypriniformes, Nemacheilidae. The transcript is spliced from 5 exons.